UGUCCAGACUCCUACGGGAGGCAGCAGUCGGGAAUAUUGCACGAUGGAGGAAACUCUGAUGCAGUGACACCGCGUAUAGGAAGAAGGUUUUCGGAUUGUAAACUAUUUUAGACAGGGAAGAAAAAAGACAGUACCUGUAGAAUAAGCUCCGGCUAACUACGUGCCAGCAGCCGCGGUAAUACGUAUGGAGCAAGCGUUAUCCGGAAUUACUGGGUGUAAAGGGAGCGUAGGCGGCAAGGCAAGUCUGAUGUGAAAACCCAGGGCCCAACCCUGGGACUGCAUUGGAAACUGUAUUGCUUGAGUACCGGAGAGGCAGGCGGAAUUCCUAGUGUAGCGGUGAAAUGCGUAGAUAUUAGGAGGAACACCAGUGGCGAAGGCGGCCUGCUGGACGGUAACUGACGCUGAGGCUCGAAAGCGUGGGGAGCAAACAGGAUUAGAUACCCGUGUAU
RNAcentral lists this ribosomal RNA (449 nucleotides) under uncultured bacterium. Its description in RNAcentral is "bacterial SSU rRNA". It matches the Rfam family "Bacterial small subunit ribosomal RNA", at positions 328 to 793 of the family's 1533-position model. The record is from RNAcentral.